Molecule: ribosomal RNA, 411 nt
Filed under: uncultured prokaryote
Description: bacterial SSU rRNA
Rfam family: Bacterial small subunit ribosomal RNA
Source: RNAcentral
GUGUCAGCAGCCGCGGUAAUACGGAGGAUGCGAGCGUUAUCCGGAUUUAUUGGGUUUAAAGGGUGCGUAGGCGGAUUAGUAAGUCAGUGGUGAAAACCUGCAGCUUAACUGUAGACUUGCCAUUGAUACUGUUAGUCUUGAGUAUGGUCAAGGAAGGCGGAAUGUGUAAUGUAGCGGUGAAAUGCUUAGAUAUUACACAGAACACCGAUUGCGAAGGCAGCUUUCUGGGCCAUUACUGACGCUGAUGCACGAAAGCGUGGGGAUCGAACAGGAUUAGAUACCCUGGUAGUCCACGCCGUAAACGAUGAUCACUCGCUGUUGGCGAUAUACAGUCAGCGGCAAAGCAAAAGCAUUAAGUGAUCCACCUGGGGAGUACGGCCGCAAGGCUGAAACUUAAAGGAAUUGGCGGGG